Molecule: long non-coding RNA, 9415 nt
Filed under: Medicago truncatula (barrel medic)
Lineage: Eukaryota; Viridiplantae; Streptophyta; Magnoliopsida; Fabales; Fabaceae
Description: long non-coding RNA (MTRU_LNC002025)
Source: RNAcentral
AUCCUGGAAAAAUGAGGGUAAGAUGUUUUAAUUAAUAAACUUAACACACUACAACAAUGUUAAAGUGUCUCUUUUGAUUCAAAUGAGAGAUUAAAAAUUACACUGAAAGGUAUUUAAGUUCAGAUAUUUAAAAAACUUAAAUACAUAUUCUCUCCCAUCAAAAUCCUACAAUUGUGGAGGGAGCUAAAAUUAACUCAAGGAAUUCUGCACCCAUCCUAAAAAUUAAAUCGAAUCAAAUAAUCAACAAUCAAAUUGAUCCCUCCUUCCAUUUCCCUCCAACCAAACAAACUCUUCCAACACACUUCCCUUAUAGUGUUUUAACAUAUUUAAUUUAAAACAGAAACAUCAAGAGCAUACCUCUAACAUUGUCUCAUCAAAGAUGAGAGGGCAACUUGAAGGAACUUCAACAUGAUCUAACUCAACAGUAGGUUUAAGAUUCCCAAUAAAUGAAGUUUCACUAUUGUAGACCUCAUCAAUGUUAAACUCUUUAGAAAACUGUGAAACUAUCUUGGCCUCUGAAGGUUCUCCUUGAUCCCUAACUGGGGGCAUAGUAUAAUAUGGAAUUUUACCUGAAACAGUGCAAUUAUAAAUUUUUCUUACUUUCGGAAAGGAAUCAAAUUAUUCCUAAUUUCCAACUUCAAAAGAAACAUGUAUAUUCAAUAUGUAUAUUCAUCACACCUAUAUUCCAGUCAUGAAGAACGAUUCUUGCAGCAGCGUCAAUGUCAACUAUUCCACCCUUCUUGAGCUUGCCUCUAACAGUAGCCACAAUCUGUAGGAAGUCAUCAACUGAAUCAAAACUUGGAAUCUUGUAAAGAGAUAUCAGCACCCUAGCGGGACAGAGCUUGAGAAUUUCUUUCACUGCAUUGUCCAAGAAAAAGGAUAAAAGGAUUAGACUUCCCAAUAGAGCCUGAAAGUCGGGAUUUCAAAAUUAAGAUUUUAAGGAGACUUCGAGACAUUUAACAAAAAAUUAUAAUAAACAAAACUUUGAUUUACAUCUAGAAAAAUAAACACGCAGCUAAGCAUUUAACUUAAAAAAAGAUCAUAAAUUGGCAUUAUGACAAUAAACUAACUAGAAAGCAUGAUCAAUAUUGUGAAGUCGAUUAUGAAAUGAACUUCCGAUGGAUGUGUGGCAACGCAAGAAAAGAUUAGGAUUAGGAACUUAUAAUUACUAAAAAGAAGAUAAAGUCGUGUCUUAGUGCUUUAGGCAUGUGGGGAAAAGAUCAGUAGAAGCAUGUAAUGAGAGGGAGAGCAGACCAGAGAGAAAAUAGUGUAAUAGUUAAAAGUACAGAUAAAAAAAACUAGGAAAAUCAUAAAUCAAAUUUCAAGGUCUUUAAUCAACGGAACUUGAACACAAUGGGUUCAUGCCCUCACUAUAUCGAUGGAUCUUCAAGUUUUCCCCAAACUUCAUAUAACCUCUUUCAAAUAAGAACUAGGUGGUGAGGUUAAAGGCAACUAAAUCAAGGCUUGGCUUGAUUUUUUUGGGGUAUAUUUUCAUACAAGUUUCAAUUCCACAAAAAGCAAGCACUGGUAAGCCAAUUUUAAAGUUUAAACUAAAUCGAGCAAUAUAUUUAGCACUCAAAAGGUAAAGAUAAUAGGUUACUAGCAUUGGGAGGGUUUAUAAAAACAUGUAGAGAAUCUCAAGGUAAAGGGAGACCAUUUCUUCAACUGAGAUCAAGAUAACAAGUAUCUAUCAUCUGCUCUAGAACAUGACCAGAAAGGAGCAUAAAUUAUGGAUGUCUCACCACAAAAUUUAAUUAAAAUUGCAUUAAUUAAAAGAGAAUCCGAAAAACAAUUAUCAGUAUUAGAGUCUAGAAGAGGGUCUUAAACAUUUAUUAGUUGAUAUCAUUUGAAUUCUUUAUUAGCAUCAAAUAAUUUCCGCAUAAGAAAAUGGAGGACAUAAAGUUCCAACCAUCCAUUUCAAGUAGCAUUACUCCAAUAUUACCUAAAUAAGAGAAUUAAUUAAUGGGGGAAGGAGAUGACUUCAAGUACCUGGGCUAACUGGAUCAGCUAACUUCUCAAUUCUCUUGCAAUUUUUUAAUGCAAUAGUAGCAUCAUUUUCUCGAGAGUCCAGCAUGACAACACCAGGGCAAUCCAGCAACUUAACAUUUUUGUCCAAACGAAUCUCUUGCUUUGACCUUGUCGACCCAGCAGAAGCACUGACAUGGACAGCAUGGCUUCUCAUUAAACUAUUAAUAAGACUACUCUUACCAACAUUGGGCAGUCCAACCAAACCAACAGUGAUUGACGUCUUGAGCUGUGAAGACAAAGCCAAAAUAAUUACGGCAAAAUAGAUAAGCACCAUAAAUUGUAAGACUAGAAGUGAAGUUACAAGAAUUGGGAGGAAAUAACAUAAUCACUAAAAUGUAGAAUCUCUGUUGAAUGGAAAUAACAUCACAUAAAGAAGCAAAUAUACAACGUUAUUUAGCUGCAUGAUCAAAUCCAGUAUAACAUGAAAAGUAUCAUGGAAUAUGUUAUUCCCAAACAUACAAGUGCUAAAUUCAUGCAUACAGAUUGAACAGCAUCAACACUACAAUUGAAGACAAAUUUAAUAAAAUAUGUUUUGAGAUUGAUACUUCUAUUACACCACAGAAAUUACAUAACACUGAAACAUAAAAGCAGAAUAUAUCUUGUAAAAUUGAUGAGGGUAAAGUUGAUUACACAAUAAAGUAUCAGAAAUAUAAAGCAUAUGAAUGCAAAUAAUAAUAAUAAUAAUACUUGUUCAAAAAAUAAUAAUAAGAGUUAUGCUAACCGGUGCCUCAUGGGCACCGGUUAAGGAGUUAAAAAUAGAAAUAAAAGACAAAUUUCACAAUAAAACAAACACUUUUUCAACUUUUAACAAGUAGAAUGCACAAUUUUCAAAAUAACGUUUUCUAUUAUAACUCCUUAACCCAGUGCCACAGGGGAACUAGUUAGCAUUUCCCUAAUAAUAAUAAUAAGGUUUCUAACAGCUGAUAUGAAAUCCAAAAUAGUAUUGAUAACAUCCAAGAAGCAUGUGAAUCACAAGUAACAUCUCUGAUUAUAAACAGCACCUAAAUUCAGCAGAAACCUCACUUUAAUCAUACAAACAACUAUUAUAACUUAAUCACAAUAAGAAAAAGUGAACUAUAAUUCAACCAUAUUUAUAAGAACACUUGCAAACAUCACAGAAAUAAGAACAUAAAAAAUAAAAAGAGAGGGCAAGAACAUUGAACAUAAAAGUAAUCUUCUGUUACCUUGUCGCUUCUUGCAUAAUUCUUCAAUAGUUUGAGCAGUGUCUCAGCUCCGAGACAAUCACUUAAUUGCAAAGUAUUACUUGUUUUGAUUUUUUUAGAUCUCCCUAGGUUAGAUUUUUGCUGUUGUGUACUGCACUUGAAAGCGACAGUAGGGAAUUCUUCUCGAAGGUACUUGAGCCACUUCUCAACUGACUCUCGAGGGACAAGAUCUGAAUUUGAAGCACAAAUGAUUAGUCAAUGAAAAAAAUAUUCCCAGAAGGGAAAAAGGUGAUCAAGAAACUUACCAAUUUUAUUCAAAAGCAAUACAUGACGUUUAUAGGUUCCUGAAUCCCUCACCCUCUUUUCGAUGUUAACACAACGAGUACCCAAGGGAUCCCGGGCAUCAAGGACCUCUAGUAUGACAUCAGAAGUUGCAAUAACCGCUUCCAAAUCACCGGCAAAGGCCCUGUCUGAACUAUCUAUGGAAAAAGAAACAUGAAAACAUGAUGAAUAUAAGACAAGCAAUUAAGCAACUUAGAAAUAUUUGACCUAAACAAAAUUUGCAGCAAAUGUAAAAUAAAAAUACCUUUAUUAGUCUUCGCAACGGUGGGAACACUUUCGGUAUUUUCUAUAGAAGCCGUUUCAACUGAAUUGGAGUUAUCAUCAUCCACUGGCAGCCCCGCUUUCCUUUUACGAGCCUGAAACAAGAGUCAGACAUGAUUAAGUUCAUAUUAUAAGAAAAAUCAAAAUCAUAGAAUGCAAACAAAAGAAUAGUAUUACCAUACAGGCAUAACACAUAACAUAAAUAUUCCUACAUCUCUGAGUAGACUGUCGCAUCAAAAAGAAUAGCUUUUUCUUGUGUAUCUCUAUUUGUUAUAAUUAUAAUUCAAGUUAUUAUCUAUCAUCUAUAACUAUCAAUCCAAUAGUUCUAGUUAAUUAAUCAAAUAUCUUCAGAUGUUUUUGUAUAAAAAUCAUACACACGUGACUAUAUCUCCGAAGUAACUUGAGCUUAGUUCCUUGAGAUUAAAAGUUUUAUCGGACAAGCUUUGGAAAGAAAACCAAGUGGAGCAUGACACACACAAUAUAGCCUCUUUAGAUUGACUUAUCUAGUGACAUCAGCAUUUGUGAAACUAUUUGGGAAAGCUUAUGACAUGUCCAUAAGUUUUUUUUUAAGGAAGACACGUCCAUAGUUGUUUACAACUUUAAUUUCAUAGCUUCUUCAAAAAAAAAAAAAUUUCAUAAGCAUUCUAUGAUAGCUUAUAAUAACAGCUUACAUGAGCAAUUACAGGAAACGCACUUAUACUAUAAGCCCUUAAUUAACCUGAUUAUCCAAACUGAAUACAUACCCAUUUAUUCACAAUUUCACUAUGAAAUAUAAUAUUCAAUUUCUUAACUUUCCAUAAAAAAAAAAACAUCUAUAUCACAAACUUUUACUUUUAAAUAAAAUUAGCCAUCAAUUUUGAAACAAUAAAUCUCAAAAAUUAAUUAAAUGAUACCCUUUCUUUGCGUUCAUCUUUCUUUUUUGCCAAUUCAGCAAGAGCACGUUCUCUACGAGCUUCAAGUAAUUUCAAUUCCUGUUCCUUAAAAGGCCAAUCAUUUGGAAUACCAGGAUCUUUCUCAACCUUCUUCUUACCACUUAAUUGAAGCUUUUUAGCUUCUUUGGUUUUCUUUUUGUUAUGCUCUUUCACUUUCUUUAGGAUUUUGUACUUUUUCUUCAAUGGAACCCUCUUACUCUUACUCUCUGCAAAUCAAAUCAAAUCAAAUCAAAUGAAUUAGAUCAAAGUAAAAUAACGAUGAUGAAAUUGAAGAAGUGACGAAAGGGAAUUGCUUACUUUUGCUUCUCUUCACCAUUUUAGGGUUUGUUGUGUUAGAAAGAGAGAAAGGGUUGCGGCAACAGAGUGUUGUUUUUAGGGUUUAACGAUUUUUGGGGGUUAUAUAUAAGGUUGUGGAUGAAUAACCUGUGUUUUUGGACAAAUGCAAUAAUGGCCGUUGAUUUAUAAAUUAAAAUUUCAAUGGUGAAGAUUUAAGAAGGUGACUUGUAGUGAAAAGUAUGCGAUUUCUUUACCUCACCAAAAACGUACGGGACCAAAAUUAUUAUCUCCAAAAUUUUUAAAAAAAAACAUCUCCGCAUUAUUUUUUGGAAUUUUGCUCUUCUCAUAACAAAAUUCACUCGCGCCCAGCUGAACUUCUCAAUAUACACUGCGUGAUUUAACUCACGCACCUAUAACUUUGUGUGACUUAAGUCAUGCAUCACUGACAUGAGCGCAAGUUAACUCACGCAGGUUGGUCGAUGGUCUGAACUCAAAAACAUACGUUUUUUGAAUAAAUCCAAAUAAAUACUAAUUUAGUUCAUUUCUUUUUAUUUGUAUUUAUUUAAUGAAUAAAUUUGAAUAAAGUAAAUAAAUUUAAUUUGAAUAACGUAAAUAGAUAAAUUAGAAUAAAGUAAAUAAAUUAAAAUAAAGUAAACAAAUAAAUUAGAAAAUAAGUAAAUUAGAAUAAAGUGAACAAAUAAAUUAGAAAAUAAAUAAAUUAGAAUAAAGUCAACAAAUAAAUUAGAAAAUAAAUAAAUUAGAACGAGGUGAACAAAUAAAUUAGAAUAAAGUGAACAAAUAAAUUAAAAUAUAGUAAAUAAAUUGUCCCCGUGAGCAUAACUCAGUUGGCAGGGACAUGCAUUGUUAUAUGCAGGGACCGGAGUUCGAACCCCAGACACCCUGCUUAUUCUCCUUGAAAAAGGAGAAUUCUAGCCACUAGACUACCUGACCAAAAAAGAAAAUUAAUGCAGGGCUAUUUUAGGUAUUUCAGUUGGCGCGUGCAAAACUUGUUGGGAGAAGAGUAUGAUUCUAAAAAUAAAUGGAAAUAAGAGUUAAAAUUUCAAUGGUGAAGAUUUAAGAAGGGUAAUUUGUGCAAAGACUUCAGUGCGCGAGCAACUUAUAUCACAAAUGGUGCGAGACUAUUUUUUUUUUUUUUUGAAACCACGUAAUGUGCGAGACUAUUGAGAUCCGUUCGAUCAAAAUAGACCAUCAAUAGACUUCUUGACUAUAUUUUUUUUAAUCAUUUUUUAAUUAAUAAAAAAAUUACUCUCUCCUUCCUAUCUCUCUCUCCACCGCUUUCUCUCCGAUCUUUUCCUCCUCUGCACCUCUCUCUCCACCACUUCACCUCUCUCGGACCUCCUCCAUUUCUCAUUUUUUUAAGGGUUAAACAUGUUUUUAGUCCUUACAUUUUGCACCCCUUUGAAAAAUAGUCCUUAUAUUUCAUUAAUUGUUUUUAAAAUCCUCACAUUUUAUCUCCGUUAUCAAAAUUAGUCUCUACUGCUAAUUUUCUAACGGAAUGCUGAUGUGACAAUUAGUGGGUCCCAAUUAUUUUAAGGUUAAAUAUGUUUUUAGUCACUACAUUUUGCGUGACUUUGAAAAACAGUCCUUGCAUUUCAAUAAAUAUUUUUAAAAUCUCUAAAAUAAUAAGGAUUAUUCUUCAAAGUCACGCAAAAUGUAAGGACUAAAAACAUAUUAACCCUAAAAUAAUUGGGGCUCAUUAACUGACAUAUCAGCAUUCCGUUAGAGAAUUAACACCACUGACUAAUUUUGAUAACGGAGAUAAAAUAUGAGGAUUUUAAAAACAUUUAAUAAAAUGUAUGGACUAUUCUUCAAAGUGGCGCAAAAUAUAAAGAUUAAAAACAUAUUUAACCCUUUUUUAAACUUCACCCAGAUUUCCUUUCCCAUCAAAUUUAAUUUUUAUUCUUGAGUAGUUCCCAAUUUCAUCGAAGAAAAAACAACAAUGGGAAAAAUAUAAGUUUCAUAACGAUGAAUGUGAUGAUGUGAGUGAAUCCUCAACUUUGUCCCUGAAUUUUCACGACUCGGCCAAAUUCAUCCCUCAAUUAUGCGAAAUAUCAAUUUAAUUCCUGAAUUUGUUAAAUGUCAAUCAAGGUAGUCCUUCUGUUCAAACGGAGCGUUAACCUCUCACAUGUCAGACGCCACGUAGACAGGGACUAAUUUGGCCGAUAAUAACAAACAUUUCAAAGGACUAAACUGAUUAAUUUGCAAAAAAUGUUUCGGCUUUCUUCCCGAAAGGCACUUUUCUUCCCUAACAAUUCUUUCUCCCCCAAUUGUAUAAAAUUGGAACACUAAUUACACCAGCAAUCUACACUCCAAAAUCACCAAAAUUUCCUCCAGUAAUAAGUGGUCCGAUUCUUCCCCAAUUCAAAAAACUUCAAACCCUAACUUUUUGCAUUGAAUUUGAAUAGCAAAAUUGUAACGCCCACUUUUAUUUAAUUAAUUAUUUAAUUGAGUCUAGACGAGUUAUAUUAUAUUUAUAUAAUAUAUGUGUGAUUUAUGAUGAUUUUUGACGAUUUGGAUGAUUUUAGAUGAGUUAUGAGAUGUGAUGAUUUUUAUGAGGUUAUGAGACUUAUUUUGUUGUUUAAUAAAAUAAGAUUUGAAAAUAAAAUAAAAUAUUUAGUUAAGGGAUGUUUUGAGAUUUUAGAGAGUUUUGGGGGAGAAAGUGAGAUAAGAUAAGAUAUUAGGAAGAGAUAUAAAAAGGAAAGACCUAGUUUUAGAAAAGUUAGUACGUACGAUCAAAACUUUGGAAAAGGAGGAAAAAAGCCAUAGAAGGGAGAAGACCUAGAGGAAGGCUGCGAUUUCUUCAAACUAAGGUAAGGGUGAGACUAAUGAUUCAGUAGUAUUAAUCCUUAUGAUUCUGAUGAUCAAAUUAACAAGUUAGGAUUGAAUUAGAAAGUUUAUGAAAUUAGGGUUAAUAGGUGAUUUUGAUGAUCCAAUGAUGUUAGGUUGUUAGAUUGAUGCUUGAAACGUCAUUUGACCUUAGAUUAUGAAUAAGAUGAAUUAUGGAAUCGAAAUUAGGCUUUAAACCAUGAGAUUAGAUGAAUUUUCGUAAAAACUGCAUUCUGCCCGAGCCCAUGUUCAUCGCUCGCCCUCGCGAACGAUGAUCCUCGCCUCGCGAGUGAUGAAGUUCAUCGCUCGCCACGUGAGCCAAUUUCCCUCGCCUCGCGAGCUGCACGUCGCAGCUCGCCACAACGAGCAACCUUACUCGCCAUAGCGAGCAUGACCAAAGAGCAUGUCGAAUUUUGUAUUUUUGACUUUUGAGUUGAACCUUAGAUGCUUUUGAGUGCCUAAAGAUGUUUAUUAAUGAUUAGAUGAUGACUUAGAACGGGAUUGAACCUGGUUUAGCUUAGAACAACUUUAGUUGGAAUUCUGGCUUGUACUCGCUAUGGCGAGCAGAUGCUCUCGCCUUGCGAGCACUUCCAGAACUGAGUGCAAGUUAGGAUGUUGCGAUCUGUGUCGCAUAAAUUGAUUAGGGAUGGACUCUUAGGUAGUAAUGUGACUUGUAUAAGAAGUUAACUGCAAACUGUGAAGCUGUUAUGAGAUGCUAAGUUGUUUAUAAUGUGAUUCAAUGAUUAAUUGCAUUACUUGAAAUAUUAUUGAAUGAUCAAGAUGUUGUUGAAAUAAAUUGAUAUUAUGAAGUUAUGCUGUUGUUGUGAUCUGAUUAUGCUGCUAUUGUUAUUUAACUAAGUUGCAUGAGUCUAUACAAGAUGAUUAAGAUGAUGUUGAACUCCAAAUUAUUGGAUGUAUAUGAGAUGAUGAUUAAGAUGUUUAAGAGAUCAAGUCCAUGCAUUAGCAUACAUUUGUUGGGGGCUCAUGCCCUGGAGCUUUGUACUCACCACGAAGGAGCAUUUGCUCAAAAUAAUGUUGGGGGCUUAUGCCCUGAAAGUAUAUUAAUACUAAAAUGUUGGGGCUCAUGCCAUGUAUUGGUACCACAUGCAUAUAAGAGGUCUAAGUUGCAUUGUUGCAUUGUCGAGUCAAAUGAUGAAAGAUGUUAAGAUGUUAUGUUAUUUAUGAUGAUUGAAUGAAGUGAUUACUUGAUAUUUUAUUAUCAAUGAUGCUAUGAUGUUUAAGAUGUUUAUGUUGUUAAUUAUGAUUGUUGAAUUAUAUUGAUUAAUAUUAUUGUUUUGUGAAAUCUCACCCCUUCUACUUGGAAAUGUUGCUCUUCGUAUGAGUAACAUGCAGGUGAUCGAGCGUAGGUUGCUGUUGUGCUGUCGUGAGUGGCAUUGCCUCACUGAGUCCUAGGUUGCUCUGAUACGUAACGGGAUGGGGUUUUGAUAUGCAUACUUCAUUUCCUUUACGUGUUCAUUUAUGAUGUUUCAUGCUGUUUAACUGAAUUUAUUUGAGAUAUUACGAUGGGGCCUACGUGCCAAGACAACUUAUGAUUUUGAAAUAACU